GGGGAAAUAGCUUAGUUGGUAGAGUGCUUGUCUUGCAUGCACGAGGCCCUGGGUUCAAUCCUCAGUACCACCU
RNAcentral lists this transfer RNA (73 nucleotides) under Ictidomys tridecemlineatus (thirteen-lined ground squirrel). RNAcentral describes it as "Spermophilus tridecemlineatus (thirteen-lined ground squirrel) tRNA". It matches the Rfam family "tRNA". Rfam says of the family: Transfer RNA (tRNA) molecules are approximately 80 nucleotides in length. Their secondary structure includes four short double-helical elements and three loops (D, anti-codon, and T loops). The record is from Rfam by way of RNAcentral. Lineage: Eukaryota; Metazoa; Chordata; Mammalia; Rodentia; Sciuridae. RNAcentral also lists the same sequence under 1 other name.